AACGGCUGGUUUGACCGCAGUUAUCAUAUCACAGUCAUUAUCUCGAGAUCUCAAAUUAAUUAUAUCGUUAUCUCGGGAAAACAAAGUUUCGUUAUCUCGAGAUCUCGAGAAAAUUAACUCGUUAUCACGGAAAAACGGAGGAAAUAAAAUGUAUGAAUGCAUGGCCCUUUAGGGCUUCCGUAGUACGGGGGUCUCUGAACAACUACGUUAUAUCCUAAUUAAAUCCCCUUUAAGACAACUUAAUUUAACUUAUAUUUUAGAUGUUUUUUGUUUAUAUGUGUGUAUAUCAGUCACAUCUGUAUAUAAAAAGCUGUACAUACACUCAAAAAACUGAUCCAAGCCUUCUUUGAUGUGACACAUUAAACUGUUGUUUGAUUUGCUGAAACAAAUCUAUUAAACACUAAACCGAUGUAAAUUGAAUUGUGGUAACGUAAUAGUUUCACCUUGACAUUCAUGAACUCAAAACAAAUGAGUUUCAUUUGAAUUGGGACCGCCCAUUGCGCAUGUGCGAAGCAGCGCGCUCUCAGCCUCCGUUCCUCCCGCUCCUUUUUCACUGACAACUUCUGCCAACGCUGCUGCGGGGUUUUACUCUACAGAGCCACGGAAAGCUGCUGUAAUUCCACUCCUUGUGCCAUGACAUCAACAUAAGGAGGGAGUGCAUCCUGAGAAGCCUUGUUGUCUAUGUCAGUGAAGACCCAGAUGUGUUUUUCAAGGAAUAUUUGUCCUCUGCAGCUGAGGAUGCAGAGAGGGACAUCACACCACAGUCAUGGGGAUUUACACAAUCCGAAGAGAUGGACAUGAAGAGCCAGAGGACGUGGGAGUUGUGAUUGAGGGCAUUAAAGUCCUCAACAAUGUUGGCAGCGUCAUCAUGGGGUUCAUCAUGCUGUUUGGGCUCAUUUAUGCCCUUGAUCUAGCCUUUCCCCAAAACCUCAAGUACACCUUCGAGUUUUUCCAGAAGAUCAUUAUGAACUUGGAUGGACACAAGCUGAAUGCAAAGAUACAGCAGCUGAAAAUAAGGCGCAAACACUGUGUCCACACAUUCAGUGACAGUCAGCAUGGAUGUUUUUCUUGUUAACUACUUGUGUAGCACAUCUUGAAGUGUGUUCCUAUGGAUAGGCUGUGACUGGACUCAAAGAAAUUCCUUUUUUUUUCUCUCACGUUUCAGGUUCUGUUUUGUACUUCUACCAUGUGUAUAGUAUAGUGAAACCAAAGUUUAUAUGUUUAAUGUGAGCUGGUUAUACCAUGCCUUAGCCUUUUCAGAUAUUGUACUUGUAUUAUUAUUGUACUAGCACUAAUACUAGUUACUUUGGUUGAAGCAGUUUUGAAGUCAGCGGAUUCAUUUCUUUUCUUUUCUAAAUAUGAUAGGUCAUACACUGUGUUCAUCAUAGAUAAAAAACUUAAAGAGAAGCUUAAAAAGCUAAGCUCUCAGUCAAGGUCAAAGUGCAUUUUGAACAGUUUAGUUUGAGAUUGGUGAAAGAAUUUCCAUGUUUUGUACUGUAGAUGUGUGUUAAAUGUGGUAUAUGUAUAUUUCAUUCCAGUAUUUAGGCACUACAUAGUGCAGUUAAUGGUAAAAAAAAUGUUCAGGGUUGGUCUGAACUGGUCAAAACAUGCCUUAGCUUUUCGGCCUGAAACGUGUAGCUAGGCUCUGAGGCAGUUUUUCUGUGUGUUUUGACACAAGUCAGUGACUGUCAUCAAUAUGUUGAUGAGUUCCAUGUUGAUGUUUUAUAUCUAUAUCUCUCUCUAUAUAUAGAUAUACAGAUAUAUAGAUAUUUGUAUGAGGUUUUAUUUGUUUUAAAUAAAAACAUAUUAACCAGA
Molecule: long non-coding RNA, 1815 nt
Organism: Dicentrarchus labrax (European seabass)
Lineage: Eukaryota; Metazoa; Chordata; Actinopteri; Moronidae
Exons: 3
Source: RefSeq, a predicted model, not a curated record